GACGAACGCUGGCGGCGUGCUUAACACAUGCAAGUCGAACGGAAAGGCCCUGCUUUUGUGGGGUGCUCGAGUGGCGAACGGGUGAGUAACACGUGAGUAACCUGCCCUUGACUUUGGGAUAACUUCAGGAAACUGGGGCUAAUACCGGAUAGGAGCUCCUGCUGCAUGGUGGGGGUUGGAAAGUUUCGGCGGUUGGGGAUGGACUCGCGGCUUAUCAGCUUGUUGGUGGGGUAGUGGCUUACCAAGGCUUUGACGGGUAGCCGGCCUGAGAGGGUGACCGGCCACAUUGGGACUGAGAUACGGCCCAGACUCCUACGGGAGGCAGCAGUGGGGAAUAUCGCACAAUGGGCGGAAGCCUGAUGCAGCAACGCCGCGUGCGGGAUGACGGCCUUCGGGUUGUAAACCGCUUUCGCCUGUGACGAAGCGUGAGUGACGGUAAUGGGUAAAGAAGCACCGGCUAACUACG
Molecule: ribosomal RNA, 466 nt
Filed under: uncultured bacterium
Lineage: Bacteria
Description: partial 16S ribosomal RNA
Rfam family: Bacterial small subunit ribosomal RNA
Source: RNAcentral